AUAACAAUACAGGACUCUUUAGAGGCCCUGUAAUUGUAAUGAGUCCACUUUAAAUCCUUUAACUCUGAUCAAUUGGAGGGCAAGUCUGGUGCAGAGCCCCUGACGAGUGCGUGCUGCAGCUGAAGCUCCAC
This is a non-coding RNA of Pelobates cultripes (western spadefoot toad), 131 nucleotides long. The record is from the annotation of a GenBank genome assembly. Lineage: Eukaryota; Metazoa; Chordata; Amphibia; Anura; Pelobatidae.